CCUACGGGGGGCAGCAGUGGGGAAUAUUGGACAAUGGGGGCAACCCUGAUCCAGCCAUGCCGCGUGUGUGAAGAAGGCCCUCGGGUUGUAAAGCACUUUCAGUGAGGAAGAACGCCUGGUGGUUAAUACCCAUCAGGAAAGACAUCACUCACAGAAGAAGCACCGGCUAACUCCGUGCCAGCAGCCGCGGUAAUACGGAGGGUGCGAGCGUUAAUCGGAAUUACUGGGCGUAAAGCGCGCGUAGGUGGCUUGAUAAGCCGGUUGUGAAAGCCCCGGGCUCAACCUGGGAACGGCAUCCGGAACUGUCAAGCUAGAGUGCAGGAGAGGAAGGUAGAAUUCCCGGUGUAGCGGUGAAAUGCGUAGAGAUCGGGAGGAAUACCAGUGGCGAAGGCGGCCUUCUGGACUGACACUGACACUGAGGUGCGAAAGCGCGGGUAGCAAACAGGAUUAGAUACCCCAGUAGUC
RNAcentral lists this ribosomal RNA (465 nucleotides) under Vreelandella stevensii. RNAcentral describes it as "partial 16S ribosomal RNA". It matches the Rfam family "Bacterial small subunit ribosomal RNA", at positions 338 to 795 of the family's 1533-position model. Lineage: Bacteria; Pseudomonadati; Pseudomonadota; Gammaproteobacteria; Oceanospirillales; Halomonadaceae. The record is from RNAcentral.